This 1109-nucleotide long non-coding RNA is filed under the name Equus caballus (horse). RNAcentral describes it as "lncRNA (ENSECAG00000056349.1)". The record is from RNAcentral. Lineage: Eukaryota; Metazoa; Chordata; Mammalia; Perissodactyla; Equidae.
AUUUCCUGAGGCACCUUGUUCAAAUGCAGAUGAGGACUCAGCAGUUCUGGGUGGGCCCGAGAUUCUGCAUUUCUAAGAAGCUCCAGGGUGAUGCAUAUGCUGCUCAAGUAGCAACAAACCAGAGGCUUUCAUAUGGCAGCAUUUUACCUAGAGCUGACCCUGGUGUCAGAAGAAAGUUCUUCCUAGGGGAUUGCCUGAGUCUAAAAGAAGACAUCAAGCAUUAAGCUUAUACUACAAAGACCAGCCGUACAUUCCAAGUCGAAAAGGAACAGACUCUCUUAAGAGUGAUCUUCACAUCUUCUUGCCUGCUCCCUGCUGUCACUGACAGUAGAGAAGAGGAACAUUUAUCUAUGUGGAAGCAAAUGUUUCCGUAAUAAAGAAAUCUAAAGUAUAAGCACUUGGUUAAAAAUAGACUAACCGACAUUGAUUCCUUGAAAAAAAUUAUUCAGCAAUGUAUGUAACAGGCCAAGUUUAUAAUGGAUCACUUGGAAAGGAAACAAACACUCCUUGUUAGCUGACGGCUACAGCAUCAAACCCAGGAUAGGAAGACGAGAGAAUGGACAGCAUGGUACCAACCUCAUCCACCCCUUUUAUGAAGAGAACAAAUGUCUUUCCAGAAGCCCCAGCUUAUGUUGUAUAUGUCAGAAAAAUGUCAUAUGACUCUACUUGACUAUGGCUGAAAAGGGCAGAGGAAGGCACAGAAGGUCCACUGUUUAAGCAGACACCUAUCAGGGAAUGAGAUGCCCAUUUCACCUUCUAGCAAACAUCAGUCGCUGCAAGUAAGUCCCUUGCAGACCUCUCCCUCGGCUUAUUGGGAGGUGUGGACCCUCCUCCUGGAAGUGCAUGUGCCCUGGUACUCUGACUCAAGCCUUUAGCGUUCUCUCAGAUUCUCUGUACGGUCUCUUACAGAGGCUUGGAGAAGACAGGCAGUAAUGGUCACAGUAUCAGAUUUGUUACUUUUAAUGAGAACUCCAAGGAUGUUUUUAAGAUCGUUGUUCUCUUGCGAAUGAGGAGGUACUUAGUAUGUGUUAUUCUCGGUUUGGAGAUUUUGCGUCAGUUAUAAGACAAUGAAAGAGUCCCAUUUAACAUUUUGUUACUUUAGGAUCAAC